GAUGAAGAACGUAGCGAAAUGCGAUAAGUAAUGUGAAUUGCAGAAUUCCGUGAAUCAUCGAAUCUUUAAACGCACAUUGCGCCCCCUGGCAUUCCGGGGGGCAUGCCUGUCCGAGCGUCAUUUCUGCCCUCCAGCCCGGCUGGGUGUUGGGCGCUGUCCCCCCGGGGACACGCCCCAAAGGCAGUGGCGGCGCCGCGUCGGGUCCUCGAGCGUAUGGGGCUUUGUCACCCGCUCGGGACGGACUCGUCGGCGCUGGUCUUCCUCCAGGCGACCCUUCGGGGCUCGUCUUCCUUCGGUUGACCUCGGAUCAGGUAGGGUUACCCGCUGAACUUAAGCAUAUCAAUAAGCGGAGGA
This 354-nucleotide unclassified non-coding RNA is filed under the name soil metagenome. RNAcentral describes it as "partial contains 5.8S ribosomal RNA, internal transcribed spacer 2, and large subunit ribosomal RNA". The stretch from base 1 to 120 matches the Rfam family "5.8S ribosomal RNA", at positions 35 to 154 of the family's 154-position model. The record is from RNAcentral.